Erigeron canadensis is the source of this 221-nucleotide long non-coding RNA. RefSeq lists it as uncharacterized. NCBI's taxonomy places the organism in Eukaryota, Viridiplantae, Streptophyta, Magnoliopsida, Asterales, Asteraceae. The record is from RefSeq and is a predicted model, not a curated record. The transcript is spliced from 2 exons.
UAGAUCAUUCAAGGGUGUGUUAAAGCAAGCUAAGGAGUCCAUUUUGGGGUCAUAUGGUCGUGGGUUUGGCUGUCCAAAACAGCCUCCAUUUCGAGUUCAUCAAGGGGAUAGGCUUGGCCUUGAUGUACGAAUGAGGAGCAUAAGGAAUAUAUAAUCAAGGAAGCUAUAGAUGGGAAGUACCCAUUUUGGAUAUAUGGAAUAUAAUGUGUGGCAUAUCAAGG